AGCAGUAGCCGCGGGAAUACGGAGGGGGCUAGCGUUGUUCGGAAUUACUGGGCGUAAAGCGCACGUAGGCGGCUUGGUAAGUUAGAGGUGAAAGCCCGGGGCUCAACUCCGGAAUAGCCUUUGAGACUGCAUCGCUUGAACACGGGAGAGGUGAGUGGAAUUCCGAGUGUAGAGGUGAAAUUCGUAGAUAUUCGGAAGAACACCAGUGGCGAAGGCGGCUCACUGGACCGUUGUUGACGCUGAGGUGCGAAAGCGUGGGGAGCAAACAGGAUUAGAUACCCCAGUAGUCCCUGUCUCUUAUAC
RNAcentral lists this ribosomal RNA (303 nucleotides) under uncultured bacterium. RNAcentral's name for it is "partial 16S ribosomal RNA". It matches the Rfam family "Bacterial small subunit ribosomal RNA", at positions 507 to 807 of the family's 1533-position model. The record is from RNAcentral.